UACGUAGGGUGCGAGCGUUGUCCGGAAUUAUUGGGCGUAAAGAGCUCGUAGGCGGUGUGUCACGUCGGCCGUGAAAACCUGCAGCUUAACUGUGGGCGUGCGGUCGAUACGGGCAUCACUGGAGUUCGGCAGGGGAGACUGGAAUUCCUGGUGUAGCGGUGAAAUGCGCAGAUAUCAGGAGGAACACCGGUGGCGAAGGCGGGUCUCUGGGCCAAAACUGACGCUGAGGAGCGAAAGCCAGGGGAGCAAACGGG
Molecule: ribosomal RNA, 254 nt
Filed under: uncultured bacterium
Lineage: Bacteria
Description: partial 16S ribosomal RNA
Rfam family: Bacterial small subunit ribosomal RNA
Source: RNAcentral